GACGGAGGGUGCAAGCGUUGCUCGGAAUCACUGGGCGUAAAGGGCGCGUAGGCGGUCUGCUAAGUUGGAUGUGAAAACUCUGGGCUUAACCCAGAGCCUGCAUUCAAUACUGACAGGCUAGAGUUCUGGAGGGGAUAGCGGAAUUCCUGGUGUAGCGGUGAAAUGCGUAGAUAUCUGGAGGAACACCGGUGGCGAAGGCGGCAUCCUGGACCAUUAUUGACGCUGAGGAGCGAAAGCCAGGGGAGCAAACGGG
Molecule: ribosomal RNA, 253 nt
Filed under: uncultured bacterium
Lineage: Bacteria
Description: partial 16S ribosomal RNA
Rfam family: Bacterial small subunit ribosomal RNA
Source: RNAcentral